GAUCAAUAUUUAUUCUUGUUUUGAAAACAAGACUGGAGUGAUUAGAAACACUCAUUGAUUU
This 61-nucleotide transfer RNA is filed under the name Bathymodiolus japonicus. RNAcentral describes it as "tRNA-Ser". Lineage: Eukaryota; Metazoa; Mollusca; Bivalvia; Mytilida; Modiolidae. The record is from RNAcentral.